This 429-nucleotide long non-coding RNA is filed under the name Gallus gallus (chicken). Its description in RNAcentral is "lncRNA (ENSGALG00010008513.1)". The record is from RNAcentral. Lineage: Eukaryota; Metazoa; Chordata; Aves; Galliformes; Phasianidae.
GUCAGUUUGGCAAGCCAGGCAGGACUCUCCAAUCGAGGACCAGAUCGUCCCGGCAUUGGAUGUCUUGCAUGCACCAGAAUCUUUUCUCCAGGAAUCUCCUCUUCCAGGUAAUCUGGAACCCAAUGGCAUGGUCCCGUGCAGCAGACUAAGAAAAAUCUAAAAUGGCAAUUGGAAAGAAGACAUACUGGAUUCAUGUUGAUCUUUACACAAGGAAAGAAGUUAGAAUUGAUUCUUUUAGACACUGUGAGGUUCAAUCAAGCCUACUCACCAAGGAAGCAUUCUACUCCUGUCUGUGCUGCAUCUCCACUCUGCUCUCACGCUGAACACCAGCAGCCCCAUCCCGGGCUGCACACAGCACUGCACACAGCACCCCAAAUGUGUGGCUGUGGAUAAAGAUCCAGCUGCUGUGCUGUCACCCUUUAAUCGUGG